This is a long non-coding RNA of Lactuca sativa (garden lettuce), 440 nucleotides long. RefSeq lists it as uncharacterized. NCBI's taxonomy places the organism in Eukaryota, Viridiplantae, Streptophyta, Magnoliopsida, Asterales, Asteraceae. The record is from RefSeq and is a predicted model, not a curated record.
GUCUUAUUGCCCCGGGCAACAUACUUCUUUGGACCGGCCCUGGGUCCUUGCAUUGCAAUUGCCUAUUUAUCGGUUCUAAAGGACUGUGAGAUUCAUUGCUUUCAUGAAGGAUUGGAAGUCAAACGACUUGGUGGUCUCCAUGUCAUUGGGACAUCUUUGCAUGAGUCCCGAAGAAUUGAUAAUCAGCUUCGUGGCAGAGCAGGAAGGCAAGGAGAUCCUGGAUCAACACGCUUCAUGGUCAGAGAAGGAAAAAGAUAGAAGUUUUUGAGGAUGUUGCUGAUGAAAAAGAUAGAGGUUCUUUAGGAUGCUGCUAAUGAAGUUUAUGCAGAGAAGGAAAAAGAUAGAAGUUUGUUGGCACAUAGUAAGCUAGAUAAUUAAUGCAAUUGUAUAUAAAUGAGUUCAUUUUUUAUAACAUUUACUCACUAUUGGAAUAAUUAUUU